UCUAGAUGAUGUAAAAGAAUACUGGCUAUCUGAAAGAUGGUGAUGACACUUUAAAAAAUAAA
RNAcentral lists this small nucleolar RNA (62 nucleotides) under Prolemur simus (greater bamboo lemur). RNAcentral's name for it is "Small nucleolar RNA SNORD24 (ENSPSMG00000004672.1)". It matches the Rfam family "Small nucleolar RNA SNORD24". From Rfam's summary of the family: U24 is a member of the C/D class of snoRNA which contain the C (UGAUGA) and D (CUGA) box motifs. C/D box snoRNAs have been shown to act as methylation guides for a number of RNA targets. The record is from Rfam by way of RNAcentral. Lineage: Eukaryota; Metazoa; Chordata; Mammalia; Primates; Lemuridae.